Molecule: long non-coding RNA, 993 nt
Filed under: Mus musculus (house mouse)
Lineage: Eukaryota; Metazoa; Chordata; Mammalia; Rodentia; Muridae
Description: long non-coding RNA chr7:70592889-70593882
Source: RNAcentral
AAGAACCCACUUAAAGGAAGGAGAGAAAUGAUUUCAUAAGAUUGUCCUUGGGCCUCUACCUGUCUGUCAUGAUCAGCAUCUCCACCCCCCUGCAAUCCCCCACAGAAACAUACUUUUUUUUUAAGGCAACUUUAUCUUCAUUGGCAUUGCAUCAAGGGAGAGACAAUUGCUUUGAGGAAUAUCUUUUGCGAGAACCCGGCUCAGUCUCCGCAGCUCAGGGUUUGUCUUUCAUUCUCUCCAUCCCUUUCCUGUGAAUUCAAAGUUCUGCGCUAUGACUUCAGCCAGUUGUACUGUGGGUAGUCUUGGGUGACUGCAGAGUUGCCUUGGUCACGUGUUAGGGUAAUGGCCAACUGUCAGAACUAGACAGACUGUUUAGAAGAAAAAGAGGCGUAGAUUCAUAUGAUUUGAAGUGGAGGGGUUGAAAGAGCCAUCUGGACAAUGGUAUGACACAUAACUUGAAAGAGUCAAAGAGCCAGUAACAUACACACAAGUUCCUGGAAUCUGGUCAAAGUCCUGGGAUUAUAUGGAGAGGCCUUGAAGCCAGCAGUUUAAGCGGGGGUUUACUAACAUCUCAUUUCCAGGAGACAUCCAUGGAAGAGGAGAGAACUUUGAAGUCAGAUAUUUGGUCCUUACCCAGAAUGUGGCUCGGUUUCUGUUUAUGACUUACAUGACUCACUGAGGCACAGUCAAUCAAACCAAAAGUUUGCCAAUACGGUUAAUCUCCCAAGCCAGCUUGCUCUGGGCUUUCCUUGGGCUUCAUUUUCCAAGGAGAGGAUUUCACCCCACCAACUUGGGUUUGGGGGAAUCCGAACUCUGCUCCUCCUUCUUACACACCUCUGAGCCAUCUCUCCAUCCCUGCUUAAUUAUUUUAAAGGGAAAUGAGAGAGUAAUGCUUUUAAGAUUGUUAUAAAAGAUUUUUGUCUCUGUCAGAGGGCAGUUCAUUGUGUGGGCAAUUCAUGUGUGAAUUUUGCUUAAGAAAAAUAAUAAGUGAUU